This 253-nucleotide ribosomal RNA is filed under the name uncultured bacterium. RNAcentral describes it as "partial 16S ribosomal RNA". It matches the Rfam family "Bacterial small subunit ribosomal RNA", at positions 524 to 776 of the family's 1533-position model. The record is from RNAcentral.
UACGUAGGGGGCUAGCGUUGUCCGGAUUUAUUGGGCGUAAAGAGCGUGUAGGCGGCCAGGUAGGUCCGUUGUGAAAACUCGAGGCUCAACCUCGAGACGCCGGUGGAAACCAUCUAGCUAGAGUCCGGAAGAGGAGAGUGGAAUUCCUGGUGUAGCGGUGAAAUGCGCAGAUAUCAGGAAGAACACCCGUGGCGAAGGCGGCUCUCUGGGACGUGACUGACGCUGAGACGCGAAAGCGUGGGGAGCAAACAGG